Molecule: long non-coding RNA, 1276 nt
Filed under: Piliocolobus tephrosceles (Ugandan red Colobus)
Lineage: Eukaryota; Metazoa; Chordata; Mammalia; Primates; Cercopithecidae
Description: lncRNA (ENSPTEG00000008177.1)
Source: RNAcentral
GCAAGGGAAUCAGACAUCACAUAAAAAAACGAUUAUAAAAGAAGUUUCUAAUAAAAUGGAUGUACAGGUAAAUGGGGUAAAUGAUACAAGUGCUACAUGCUGUGAGAGUUCGGAUGAGUUAGGUCGUAAUGAUCAGACAAAGGAGGAAAGUCGAACACUCGGUAAAUGUAAAAGUGACUUUGAACGUUUGUUGGAGCUGGUCAGUGAUAGGGUUUCUAAAGCAGACAGUGAAUUAAAAGAAGCGAGAAAGGACAAAAAUGCGGAGGAAGUACAAGAUGACACAAAUAAAGAAACAAAAGAGAAUGAAAAAAAAAAGUAUAGUUUUACUAUGAAAUUGAGAAAUAUAUUUUCGUCAAAAGGGAAUAAUAAUAAAAUAAAAGAAGAUACUGUGUGUGACGAUAGUAAGGAUAUGGAUGGGACUGUCACUGAUGAGGGUGAUAAAAACAUUAUACCAGAUGAUGUCAAAAAAAAUGGAGAUGUUAACACAUGUAUAAGUAGUGACAAUAGAGAUACAGGUGGUGGGACUAACACAAGUGAUAAAACUGAUACAAAUCGUGAUAGUAAUACAAGUUGUGACAGUACGAGCGAUAAAAUUGACGCGGAUCGUACUAAUACAAGUUGUGACAACACGAACAAUAGUAGCAUUAAUGAUGUCACUGACAACAUGUCAAACAAUUUGUUGCUUAAAUCAUUUUUAAAAAUAUGUAGUUAUGUAGAUAAUGAAAAUUGUUUUACUAAAACUUCAAAUGGUUAUUAUAUGUUCAAAAAUGAUAGCGCAAAUAAAAACGUGGGUAAAGGCGUGGAUAAAAAUAACAAUAAUGAUGAUGAUGAUAGUGUUAAUGAAAAAAAUGAAUACAUUGUCCGACCGUUUAAUACAAUUGAAAAUCAUCGAUUGUAUUGCCCUUACAUAAUGAACGAUUUGUAUUCUUUUUCCAAAAUAACUAAACUUUUUUUUGAAUUACUUACAUCAGAAUUCCAAAGGAAAUAAAUAUAAAGGAAAAGAAAACUAUAUAUACAAAAAAGAUUUUUUUUUUUUUUUUUUUAAUGCGAGUUAAUACGCAAAUGCAAUAUGUAGAUAUACUUGCAUUUGAAAGGCGAAAAUGUAAAAGCGGAAGAUGGGGAGAAUAGUGUAAACAAAAAAAUAUAUAUAAUAAUCAUAUUAUACAUAAUAUUGAUGAGUGACGAAUAUAAAAAAGAUGGUAAAUUAUUAAGCAUGCUUGUGCUUGUUUGUUUGUUUUUUAAAUAAAAACAACCACAAUGCGUGAAUUCCUUUUCA